GACGAACGCUGGCGGCGUGCUUAACACAUGCAAGUCGAACGGAAAGGCCCUGCUCUUGUGGGGUGCUCGAGUGGGGCACGGGUGAGUAACACGUGAGUAAACUGCCCUUGACUGUGGGAUAACUUCAGGAGACAGGGGCUCAUACCGGAUAGGAGCUACUGCUGCAUGGUGGGGGGUGGAAAGUGUCGGCGGUUGGGGAUGGACUCGAGGCUUAUGAGCUUGUUGGUGGGGUAGUGGAUUUCCAAGGCUUGGACGGGUAGCCGGCCUGAGAGGGAGACCGGCCACAGUGGGACUGGGAUACGGCCCAGAGUGAUACGGGAGGCAGCGGUGGGGAAUAGUGCACAAUGGGCGGAAGCCGGAUGCAGCAACGCCGCGUGCGGGAUGACGGCCUUCGGGUUGUAAACCGCUUUCGCCUGUGACGAAGCGUGAGGGACGGUAAUGGGUAAAGAAGCACCGGCUAACUACGU
RNAcentral lists this ribosomal RNA (467 nucleotides) under uncultured bacterium. RNAcentral's name for it is "partial 16S ribosomal RNA". It matches the Rfam family "Bacterial small subunit ribosomal RNA", at positions 28 to 506 of the family's 1533-position model. The record is from RNAcentral.